This 484-nucleotide ribosomal RNA is filed under the name uncultured bacterium. RNAcentral describes it as "partial 16S ribosomal RNA". It matches the Rfam family "Bacterial small subunit ribosomal RNA", at positions 30 to 507 of the family's 1533-position model. The record is from RNAcentral.
AUUGAACGCUGGCGGCAGGCCUAACACAUGCAAGUCGAGCGGAUGAAGGGAGCUUGCUCCUGGAUUCAGCGGCGGACGGGUGAGUAAUGCCUAGGAAUCUGCCUGGUAGUGGGGGAUAACGUCCGGAAACGGGCGCUAAUACCGCAUACGUCCUGAGGGAGAAAGUGGGGGAUCUUCGGACCUCGCGCUAUCAGAUGAUCCUAGGUCGGAUUAGCUAGUUGGUGGGGUAAAGGCCUACCAAGGCGACGAUCCGUAACUGGUCUGAGAGGAUGAUCAGUCACACUGGAACUGAGACACGGUCCAGACUCCUACGGGAGGCAGCAGUGGGGAAUAUUGGACAAUGGGCGAAAGCCUGAUCCAGCCAUGCCGCGUGUGUGAAGAAGGUCUUCGGAUUGUAAAGCACUUUAAGUUGGGAGGAAGGGCAGUAAGUUAAUACCUUGCUGUUUUGACGUUACCAACAGAAUAAGCACCGGCUAACUUCGUG